This is a long non-coding RNA of Maniola jurtina (meadow brown), 553 nucleotides long. RefSeq lists it as uncharacterized. The record is from RefSeq and is a predicted model, not a curated record. The transcript has 3 exons. NCBI's taxonomy places the organism in Eukaryota, Metazoa, Arthropoda, Insecta, Lepidoptera, Nymphalidae.
UACCCAGUGAGAGUGUUGUGUAGUGGUGUUAUCAUUCCAGAUUGGUGUUUAUUGUUUACACACGUGUUUUUGUUAGUUCCAGUGUUUAGUGUGAAUAAAUAAAUGGAUAGUGCAAUUAAUACGGAUGUGAAUGGUGCCGAACCACGAGGGCUAUGCGGUUGGCAGGAGAUUUUUACAGAUUUUGACAGUUGGAUAAAUAAACUCAACAGACAUUUGAACAGAAGAUCUUCACAUGUUAUUCAAUCAUUUGAAUUAAAUUUAGAAGAUUUUCAAAAAAUGCAAAUUGGAAGAAGGGACGCCAUUUCAGAAGAAGAGAAAGAAAACGAGAAAAAAUUAGGUUCUUUAACAUUGCAGCAUCUGUUAGUCGAAGGAUUUAGCAUAGAAAAUGUUUCACAUUCAAAUCACAAAAGCAAAAUGGACAUUGUAAAGAACCUGGGUAAUUUUUUAAAUAUUUUCCAAAAUGGCGACGAUUCUGCCGAUUACGAUUAUUUGUUGAUAAAAUUAUUGACCGGUGGAAAAAAAUAUUUUUAUCAAUAUACGAGAUCAAAACUUU